AUUGAACGCUGGCGGAAUGCUUUACACAUGCAAGUCGAACGGCAGCACGGACUUCGGUCUGGUGGCGAGUGGCGAACGGGUGAGUAAUGUAUCGGAACGUGCCCAGUCGUGGGGGAUAACGUAGUGAAAAUUACGCUAAUACCGCAUACGAUCUAUGGAUGAAAGCGGGGGAUCGCAAGACCUCGCGCGAUUGGAGCGGCCGAUAUCAGAUUAGGUAGUUGGUGGGGUAAAGGACCACCAAGCCAACGAUCUGUAGCUGGUCUGAGAGGACGACAAGCCACACUGGAAGUGAGACACUGUCCAGACUCCGACGGGAGGCAGCAGUGGGGAAUUUUGGACAAUGGGCGAAAGCCUGAUCCAGCCAUUCCGCGUGCAGGAUGAAGGCCCUCGGGUUGUAAACUGCUUUUGUACAGAACGAAAGGGUUUCUACUAAUACUAGGAGCUCAUGACGGUACUGUAAGAAUAAGCACCGGCUAACUACGUGCCAGCCGCCGCAGUAA
This 500-nucleotide ribosomal RNA is filed under the name uncultured bacterium. Its description in RNAcentral is "partial 16S ribosomal RNA". It matches the Rfam family "Bacterial small subunit ribosomal RNA", at positions 30 to 523 of the family's 1533-position model. The record is from RNAcentral.